This 842-nucleotide ribosomal RNA is filed under the name Achromobacter sp. Its description in RNAcentral is "bacterial SSU rRNA". It matches the Rfam family "Bacterial small subunit ribosomal RNA", at positions 474 to 1321 of the family's 1533-position model. The record is from RNAcentral. Lineage: Bacteria; Pseudomonadati; Pseudomonadota; Betaproteobacteria; Burkholderiales; Alcaligenaceae.
GGUACCUGCAGAAUAAGCACCGGCUAACUACGUGCCAGCAGCCGCGGUAAUACGUAGGGUGCAAGCGUUAAUCGGAAUUACUGGGCGUAAAGCGUGCGCAGGCGGUUCGGAAAGAAAGAUGUGAAAUCCCAGAGCUUAACUUUGGAACUGCAUUUUUAACUACCGAGCUAGAGUGUGUCAGAGGGAGGUGGAAUUCCGCGUGUAGCAGUGAAAUGCGUAGAUAUGCGGAGGAACACCGAUGGCGAAGGCAGCCUCCUGGGAUAACACUGACGCUCAUGCACGAAAGCGUGGGGAGCAAACAGGAUUAGAUACCCUGGUAGUCCACGCCCUAAACGAUGUCAACUAGCUGUUGGGGCCUUCGGGCCUUGGUAGCGCAGCUAACGCGUGAAGUUGACCACCUGGGGAGAACGCUCGCAAGAUUAAAACUCUAAGGAAUUGACGGGGACCCGCACAAGCGGUGGAUGAUGUGGAUUAAUUCGAUGCAACGCGAAAAACCUUACCCACCCUUGACAUGUCUGGAAUGCCGAAGAGAUUUGGCAGUGCUCGCAAGAGAACCGGAACACAGGUGCUGCAUGGCAGUCGUCAGCUCGUGUCGUGAGAUGUUGGGUUAAGUCCCGCAACGAGCGCAACCCUUGUCAUUAGUUGCUACGAAAGGGCACUCUAAUGAGACUGCCGGUGACAAACCGGAGGAAGGUGGGGAUGACGUCAAGUCCUCAUGGCCCUUAUGGGUAGGGCUUCACACGUCAUACAUCGGUCGGGACAGAGGGUCGCCAACCCGCGAGGGGGAGCCAAUCCCAGAAACCCGAUCGUGGUCCGGAUCCCAGUCCACAACUCGACUGCGU